RNAcentral lists this unclassified non-coding RNA (1067 nucleotides) under Hevea brasiliensis (rubber tree). The stretch from base 74 to 163 matches the Rfam family "mir-160 microRNA precursor family". Lineage: Eukaryota; Viridiplantae; Streptophyta; Magnoliopsida; Malpighiales; Euphorbiaceae. The record is from RNAcentral.
GCCUAUUGGUCUGUCUGGAAGAAAGGGGAGCUAUGGGCUUAUGCAUCUUCUUGAAGGAAAAAGGUGAAAUGGAUUAUGCCUGGCUCCCUGUAUGCCACAAGCUAGAGUUCAAUCCCCUCGGUGGAUUGGCUGUCGCCGGUGGCGUGCGAGGAGCCAAGCAUAUUCUUUCUUUCUCUCUUCUUUUCAAUUUUCAUCUUUCUUACUAAUUAAACUGCUUUAUCAAAUAUUAAUGUAGUUUAAUCAUUCCUUUUGUUCAUUAACAUCAUAUCUUAUAGUACUGAUCUUAUGGCUAACCAAUUUGUUACUCAGAACUUUGAAGAAUCCUGAAGUCCCUGCAUUCUUCAGGUGCUGCUCCGAGAUAUAUAUCAGUUAAUUUCUCAAAAAUCAGGGUCAUAAAUAUUUGUACAAUGCUAAAGUUUUUCUUUUUCUUUAAUAAUGUUUAACUGCUAAUUAAUAAGAAAAAAAUGAGACUAAUUUUGCGAAUCAUCAGAGGUAGGCCAUGCAUGUGUAGUAGGGCAGUACAGCCAGCUUUCAGGUCACAUUUCUCUGAUCUGAAUCCGAUCUGGUUCGAAAGUUCAACAGAAAAUGUCGAAGCUAUUCUUCGUUCUACGAUAAUUUAUUUUAUCUACAUAUAGACCUGAUUAGUUUAUCUCUAAAUCUAUCUUAUUAGGGUUAAUAUUGUUAUUUCAGCUGUCAAUUACCAAAUAUGUUAAUAUUAUUAAAUUUUAAUACUAAUUUAAAUUUACAUGUAUUACUCUUAAAAAUUGUAAAAUAGUACCUAAUAGGGUUGGAUUCAAUUAGUAAAUAUGAGAGCUUUUCUUUUAUUAACUGGUUUCGACUCUGUCGGAGAGUAUUUUCGAAUUGUUUUGAGGUUGAAAAUUAUGGUUCAUUCGAUAAAAAAUUAAUAAAUUAUGUUAAAAAAAAAUUGAAAUUAUUUCUCUUGAAGAUGUUCUUGAAUCGAAAAGACUAUAUUAUAAUGUGAUUUGUGAGUGAAAGGAAUAGUUGUGCUUUAAGAAUUAAUUGGAUGUAAAUUAACUUUCAUAUAAUUAUUAAAAAAAUUUAAAAAG